AACGAACGCUGGCGGCAGGCCUAACACAUGCAAGUCGAACGCUGCAGCAAUGCAGAGUGGCAGACGGGUGAGUAACGCGUGGGAACCUUCCCAGUGGUACGGAAUAGCCCAGGGAAACUUGGGGUAAUACCGUAUAAGCCCCUAGGGGGAAAGAUUUAUCGCCAUUGGAUGGGCCCGCGUCGGAUUAGCUAGUUGGUGAGGUAAUGGCUCACCAAGGCGACGAUCCGUAGCUGGUCUGAGAGGAUGAUCAGCCACACUGGGACUGAGACACGGCCCAGACUCCUACGGGAGGCAGCAGUGGGGAAUAUUGGACAAUGGGCGCAAGCCUGAUCCAGCCAUGCCGCGUGAGUGACGAAGGCCUUAGGGUUGUAAAGCUCUUUUGGCGGGGACGAUAAUGACGGUACCCGCAGAAUAAGCUCCGGCUAACUUCGUGCCAGCCGCCGCGGUAA
RNAcentral lists this ribosomal RNA (449 nucleotides) under uncultured bacterium. RNAcentral's name for it is "partial 16S ribosomal RNA". It matches the Rfam family "Bacterial small subunit ribosomal RNA", at positions 29 to 523 of the family's 1533-position model. The record is from RNAcentral.